Molecule: ribosomal RNA, 378 nt
Filed under: uncultured eukaryote
Lineage: Eukaryota
Description: SSU rRNA
Rfam family: Eukaryotic small subunit ribosomal RNA
Source: RNAcentral
AGCUCCAAUAGCGUAUAUUAAAAUUGUUGCGGUUAAAACGCUCGUAGUUGGAUAUCUGUGAGUGGGAUCCGGUCCUUCCCAGUGAAGAUUACACGGAUCUCUACUUACAUUUGUUCAGGGAAGGUGGUUGCACUUUGUUGUGUGUCAUCGAAUCUGAAUUUUUACUUUGAGGAAAUGAGAGUGUUCCAAGCAGGCAAUUGCCGUGAAUAUGAUAGCAUGGAAUAAUAGCACAGGACUUUGGUUCAAUGCUGUUGGUUGUUGAACUAGAGUAAUCACAAUAAGGAUAGUUGGGGGUAUUCGUAUUUAACUGUCAGAGGUGAAAUUCUUGGAUUUUUUAAAGACGAACUAUUGCGAAGGCAUCUACCCAGGAUGUUUUUG